Molecule: long non-coding RNA, 1225 nt
Organism: Mustela erminea (ermine)
Lineage: Eukaryota; Metazoa; Chordata; Mammalia; Carnivora; Mustelidae
Exons: 9
Source: RefSeq, a predicted model, not a curated record
GGCUGGGGAAACCAUUGGUGAGAUUUCACAUCAGACAGAACCAGGAAGCUGACAGUCUGGAGAGGAAGGAAGGUUGUGGAGCCUGCCCACUGCUGGAACCAUGGACAGCUCUGAGGCCGGCUGUUACCCUAGUUUGCCAGACUUGUGAACUCCCUGACGAGGGCCUACACUACAUCUAGCACAUAGUAAGUGCUCAAGAAACAUCUGGUGAAUCAAUCGAAAACCAGAUGAAGGUCUCUUCCUGUGCCUGGUGCUUAGUGAGCCUUUCUGACCCUUGUCUCACUCCAGGCUUUUCUACUCUGCAAAGGAAGUUAUCUUUAAUUUAUUCUGGAAUCCCAAUAAGACAUCAAUGGAAAGGCAAGUUCUGUGGUUUUAAAGGAAGCUCCAGGGACUCUCAUCUCCUGUGGGCCUAGAAACCUGUCCUUGAAGACUCUGCAAUGGGUGACAGCUGGAUCACACCAGGACUGAAGGAGAGAAACUGUUUUCAAGAGCAGAAGUGAUUGUCUCAAGUGACAAUGUUUUGGAUUGAACUGAGUCCCUCCACAACCAUCAACGUCAGCGCCUCAAAUGUGACCGUAUUUGGAGGCUGGGUCAUUGCAGAGGCUCUCCUCAAAGGCACAGAGCACGCCCGCUCUUUGUGCGCACCUUCCCCAACACAUGGACAGGCCUUCCACACAGCAGGCCCACAGGUACACGCCGCUGGAGCUUCCAUCCUCCUCUCCAACCUCACAAACUCCACGCAGUCUGGGUGGACUGACCCGCACCACUCUGCGGCGAAGCCCAAUUCAGGAAGCACCCAGAGGGACCUGAGCUGCCCCCUUUGACAGCUUGAGCUAUUGGGGCCUGGAGGUGAAGGACAAGGGGUGUGCACGCCAAGCAGCUCAGGGCAUUGGACCAGAUGCAGGAGACACAGUGAAGAGUGACAAACAGCUCCUGCCUCUGGGGCCUCGUGGGCCACUCCAAUACCUAUCACCCAGCUUUCCAGAUUCACCACAAAGCAGCCUACUCUGGGAAGCCUUCUCUGCCAAGUUCAAGUAUCUCCUUCUCCAGGAAGCCUUCCCAGACCUUCCCUGUCCACCCACCUCACCUCUCCUCUGAGCUUUGAGGUCCAUGCUACACCUGGGCUGGAUUAUAUGCUGUUUUGGCUACUCAGAAGCUCCCUGUGGGCCAGUGACUCAGUGGCCACAUCUCAGGGCUUUACUGGCAGCUAUCCACCCUCUUCUGU